Molecule: ribosomal RNA, 207 nt
Filed under: uncultured bacterium
Lineage: Bacteria
Description: partial 16S ribosomal RNA
Rfam family: Bacterial small subunit ribosomal RNA
Source: RNAcentral
CGUGCAGGUGGUUCGGUAAGUUGGGCGUGAAAUCUCCCGGCUCAACUGGGAGAGGUCGUUCAAUACUACCGAACUUGAGAGCAGAAGAGGAAGAUGGAAUUCCCGGUGUAGUGGUGAAAUGCGUAGAUAUCGGGAGGAACACCAGUGGCGAAGGCGAUCUUCUGGUCUGUUUCUGACACUCAGACGCGACAGCUAGGGUAGUAAACG